RNAcentral lists this long non-coding RNA (341 nucleotides) under Lathyrus oleraceus (garden pea). Its description in RNAcentral is "Pisum sativum (pea) long non-coding RNA (PSAT_LNC033026)". The record is from RNAcentral. Lineage: Eukaryota; Viridiplantae; Streptophyta; Magnoliopsida; Fabales; Fabaceae.
GGAGAAGGGUAGCAUCAUAGUCUUAAGUGGGGUGGGUUCAAUACUCAUGUGUGGCAUUUUUUUUGCAUUUUAUUUCUUUUAGCUAUUUUAUUUUCUUUUAGCAUUUUCAUUUCUUUUAUGUUUAUGCCUUUAUUAUACUCAUAGUUUCAUUUGUUAAUAAUGCAAAUUUAUUUUCUUUUAAUUUCAUCAUUCAUUCAAAACCAUUUUUAAACUUAUAAAAAUCAUAUUUUUCUCGAUUUAAUAUCGAGCCCAUUUUCACACCCUUGUAAGUCGAUUGCUUUUUAAGCAUCGCCAUCAACCUCACAUAGCUUACUCUUGGGCUUUCUUACAAUGAGCCGGUU